This 292-nucleotide long non-coding RNA is filed under the name Fukomys damarensis (Damara mole-rat). RNAcentral describes it as "lncRNA (ENSFDAG00000025022.1)". The record is from RNAcentral. Lineage: Eukaryota; Metazoa; Chordata; Mammalia; Rodentia; Bathyergidae.
CCCUAAUUCUGUCUUCUCUGAGCCCCAAGAGAGGAGCUCUCUGGCGUGGACAUCAAGGCCUGGGAUAGGAAGUCCUUUCAGAGAUCAUGAGUCAUCUGUGUACUUUAUCCAUGGGGAACUGGGCUUUGAAAAUCCAAAUCCCUCGUGUGAUGUUAUUUCACUGCUUAUUUAUGGAUUCAUAAGAAACAAAGGGAAGAAGGAUGAAUCGAUCUGCAGUUGGACAUUAUUUAUACUAGAAUACCUCGGCCACAUCUGUCUCCUGUGUCAUUGCAACUCCAUUUCAAAGGGAUGA